Molecule: ribosomal RNA, 257 nt
Filed under: uncultured bacterium
Lineage: Bacteria
Description: partial 16S ribosomal RNA
Rfam family: Bacterial small subunit ribosomal RNA
Source: RNAcentral
UACGUAGGGCGCAAGCGUUAUCCGGAAUUAUUGGGCGUAAAGAGCUCGUAGGCGGUUUGUCGCGUCUGCCGUGAAAGUCCGGGGCUCAACUCCGGAUCUGCGGUGGGUACGGGCAGACUAGAGUGAUGUAGGGGGAGACUGGAAUUCCUGGUGUAGCGGGUGAAAAUGCGCAGAUAUCAGGAGGAACACCGAUGGCGAAGGCAGGUCUCUGGGCAUUAACUGACGCUGGAGGAGCGAAAGCAUGGGGAGCGAACAGG